ACGCUGGCGCAGGUUGUGCAGUACGGAUGCCUCGUUGAGGUGCGUCAUCAUGGCCAUGUCCUCCAGCAAGUCGAAGCGGGGCGGGUUCAUGGGCUGCAGCUCAGCCUCGCGAACCGUCAGCACCUGCCAGGAAGGCCAUAUCUUGGGGGAGAACCAAGUGACCUCAGCCUCUCACCCGUGUACGCCCCCAGACCCCCUUUCAUCCAGAGCAUGCCUUCCAGGAGCUACACGUCGGGGAGGAAGAGGAGCUAAUUCCAGGAAAAGGGGGGAGCCAAACCUUCUGGUCUUUGGUCUCCACGUUGACUCUGCCCCCAGUGGCUUCCGACUUGACCUCAGCCUCCACGAGCAGAUCAAUGGUGCUGUUACAAGGAAGCAGCGUUUGGAGACCACACACAAAAGGACCGUCUCAUGCUUGAAGCCAAUCAGCAAAGAAAGAGGCUGCCUUAGAAGAAAGUGAGCCUGCCAAAAGCGAAGAAGAAUCAAGGAGAGGUUGCAACAGGGCUUGAGGCCUUGGACUGGACAACUUCUGAGAUACUCAUGGGCACGGGGAUGCCAGUUCCAAGAGGGCAGAGACCUCGGCUUUCUUGCUCUUUGCUGCAGCUCAGCCUGAGCCUGGCCAUGGCAAUGCAUCUCUGGCUUCGGCCCUUAGGAAGAGCAACAGUGUGGCGCAUA
Molecule: long non-coding RNA, 672 nt
Organism: Budorcas taxicolor (takin)
Lineage: Eukaryota; Metazoa; Chordata; Mammalia; Artiodactyla; Bovidae
Exons: 3
Source: RefSeq, a predicted model, not a curated record